Populus nigra (black poplar) is the source of this 1130-nucleotide long non-coding RNA. RefSeq lists it as uncharacterized. The transcript has 2 exons. The record is from RefSeq and is a predicted model, not a curated record. Lineage: Eukaryota; Viridiplantae; Streptophyta; Magnoliopsida; Malpighiales; Salicaceae.
UUAGGUUGUUCAUGAUUUGCUGGUCGCUUCCUGUUUUCGCCCUGAAUUUCAUGCAUCAACCUUUUCUUUUCUUUUCUUUUUCAUAAUGUAACAGCGGCGAGCCGAGGAAAACAUGGGCAGCCGUUACUGUAUUGACAUCACUUAUAUCCCUGCUAUAUUGUGUUUCUUGGAGUUACCAAACAAUGUCUACUGUGAGAGAAGGGAAGAAGAAAGAGAAGAUAGCUACAGAGCCUGUCGCUAGUUCAUGGAAAGAGAGAAAAGAUCUUGCUGACAAAGAAGAAGGGGCCUUGGUAAAAGAUAUUGAAGAUCUUAGAGCAUGGGUACAAAUCAUUUAACCCCUUUUUUUAAUUUUCUUAUUUUUGUUUCAUCUUCUUAAGUAGCAACACCAAUUGUGUUGCUUCAAGGACAAGGCAGGGCAAAGGAACAGCUAAAGUGUUGACAGUGAGCAGUUUUUGAGCCAUCACAGCAACCAGUACUGUUUCGAAAUGAUGAGCUAAUUUUUGGAACAAGUAGCCUUUUUUCUCUUUUUUUCUUGUAAAUAGUUUAAAUUUUCACUCCCCACACGACAGUGAGGACAAUGGAAGAUAGAAAAUACUUUAAAUUUCAUGCUUGUAGAACUUCAACCUCUGAUUCGUUUCAUGUUUUCUUUUCUCCAGAAAAUAAAAACUUAAGCACUCUAAUUAUUUCUUUUUUCCACGACAGACUGACAUGAUUGACGCUAUGAAUGAUGAGCAGUUGAAGGAAUAUCUGAAAAACAGACCUGAAGAAUUAAAGACCGUGAAGAUCCAAAAGAGCAAGCCCAGACAAAAGGUUCAACGGCUCAGGAAGGCUAAAUCUUCAGCUUCAAUGGGAAUAAUGGCUUCAGUGUGGAAAUUUCAUAAAGAAGAACAAUGAGGACUCUGUGAGACCUGAUGUUUGAAAGGCUUCCAACUCAACACAAUUGUAUAUGCACUAGCUUCUUCUUCACCAUAUGGUGGCAACUGAUCAUUUCCUUCUGUGUUUUUUUUUUUUUUUUGGUUAUCCAUGCUUGUUUGACAGUAAGGUAUAGCUUGUGUCACAGAAAAUAAGUAAAAAGCCACCACUUGUAGCAAAGCAUCUUUGAGUAUAGAACUUUAGGUGCUUCGCUCCAA